This 400-nucleotide ribosomal RNA is filed under the name uncultured bacterium. RNAcentral's name for it is "bacterial SSU rRNA". It matches the Rfam family "Bacterial small subunit ribosomal RNA", at positions 355 to 747 of the family's 1533-position model. The record is from RNAcentral.
UAGGGAAUCUUCCGCAAUGGGCGCAAGCCUGACGGAGCAAUGCCGCGUGUGUGAAGAAGGUCUUCGGAUCGUAAAGCACUGUUAUUAGAGAAGAACAACCAGUAGAGUAACUGCUACUGGCUUGACGGUAUCUAACCAGAAAGCCACGGCUAACUACGUGCCAGCAGCCGCGGUAAUACGUAGGUGGCAAGCGUUGUCCGGAUUUAUUGGGCGUAAAGGGAGCGCAGGCGGUGAUUUAAGUCUGAUGUGAAAGCCCACGGCUCAACCGUGGAAGGUCAUUGGAAACUGGAUCACUUGAGUGCAGAAGAGGAAAGCGGAAUUCCAUGUGUAGCGGUGAAAUGCGUAGAUAUAUGGAGGAACACCAGUGGCGAAGGCGGCUUUCUGGUCUGUAACUGACGCU